This 425-nucleotide ribosomal RNA is filed under the name uncultured bacterium. RNAcentral describes it as "partial 16S ribosomal RNA". It matches the Rfam family "Bacterial small subunit ribosomal RNA", at positions 354 to 796 of the family's 1533-position model. The record is from RNAcentral.
GUGGGGAAUCUUAGACAAUGGGGGAAACCCUGAUCUAGCCAUGCCGCGUGAGUGAUGAAGGCCUUAGGGUUGUAAAGCUCUUUCAGCUGGGAAGAUAAUGACGGUACCAGCAGAAGAAGCCCCGGCUAACUCCGUGCCAGCAGCCGCGGUAAUACGGAGGGGGCUAGCGUUGUUCGGAAUUACUGGGCGUAAAGCGCGCGUAGGCGGACCAGAAAGUUGGAGGUGAGAUCCCAGGGCUCAAACUUGGAACUGCCUUAAAAACUCCUGGUCUGGAGUUCGAGAGAGGUGAGUGGAAUUCCGAGUGUAGAGGUGAAAUUCGUAGAUAUUCGGAGGAACACCAGUGGCGAAGGCGGCUCACUGGCUCGAUACUGACGCUGAGGUGCGAAAGCGUGGGGAGCAAACAGGAUUAGAUACCCGAGUAGUCC